RNAcentral lists this long non-coding RNA (1571 nucleotides) under Elaeis guineensis (African oil palm). Its description in RNAcentral is "long non-coding RNA (EGUI_LNC049855)". The record is from RNAcentral. Lineage: Eukaryota; Viridiplantae; Streptophyta; Magnoliopsida; Arecales; Arecaceae.
CCCCUUUCAUUGGGUAGCCGGCAUGCACUAUUUUGGCUUAUGGCAUGCGGUGGGACGACCCAUAUGAGAUGAGCCCUGAGACCCUGAGAUCAAAACAAAAAGCUUAUUUUCUCUCUGACCAAAUAAGACAUCCCAUAAGACGUCCUAUUGCCAGUGAGGGAUCCUAUGGGAUGUCCCAUUCUGGGUAAACCUCGUAACGACUAGUUUUUAGUCUAUUUUGAAUAUAUUUAAUGUGCAUUAAAUACUCUCCAAUGGCUCUUAACCGACACUAAGACACUCUCAAGUCUAAAUGAAGGUUAUAAAUACUCUUUUGAGGUGAGAAAUCAAUGAAGUGUUAUGCAUUCAAGCUCACACUCAUGAAAGUAAAGAAAAUCCCUAAAAGAGAGAAAAGAAGCAUUCAAUCAGGUCACCAACCACUCUCUAGUUGCAUUCAAGUGUGCCAAUCAUUUGAGGGUGUUCAGUAAAAAUUUCUUCUCCUUAAGCAUUGUAUUUUUAUUGCAUUUAUUGUGCUCAUUUAAAGGGCUGUUGUGCUAAAAUUUUUGUACACUAUAUUUUUGCUAUUAUAUUUUGGGUUUUGAGUUUUGAGGGUUCCAAAACUCGGAUAGGUUGAUCUAAACCUGAAAUUGAAGUGUUGUGGACUGGCUUGUACCUAAAAAAUAAGUAUUCUUGUUUGGAUAUUAAGGAUCGGUGUUAUCUGACAAGUUAUAUCUUAUAAUCUUUUUAGUGGAUUGAAUUCUCAAGUAGAGACUAAGGAAGUGGAUGUAGGUGCAAGGUUGGCAUCGAACCACUAUAAAUCUCUUGUGUUUGUUGUGCUUGCAUCUCUUCGUUUAUUCUUUAUGCAUUAUACUUGCUUACUUAUUAUUUGAGGUUGAUUUUAUUCUCUUAGCUAAUCUAUUCACUCCACUCAACAAGUAUAGCACAUUACCUGAGUUCACUAAUCACACAAAUUUUAAAAAGACCCAAUUCAACUCUCCUCUUGGGCUUCAUAUCUGGACAACAAGUAGUAUUAGAGUUCGAUACUCUAGUCCUUGCUUGAUUUAACCAUCAAGUGUCAAAGAUCAAUGGCAGCCCAAUUUGGUAUAUCUUUAGUCGAGGGACAAUCCACAAACCGACCUCCACUUUUCAAUGGGCUACACCUAUUGAAAAGCUUAGAUAAGAAUUUUCAUUCAAACACUUGACUAUGAUUUGUAGAGUAUCAUAGUAAAUCGACCCUACACACCCACUAAAUUGAGGUGAAUGGGAUGAAUUUGAUAAGAAAAUGACUCAGCUUAAUGUUAAAGCCAUGAAUGUUUUAUAUUGUGCCUUAGAUGUAAAUAAAUUUAACCAUAUUUCUACUCAUAAUUCAGCUAAAAAAAAUUGAGAUAGGUUAAAAGUCACACAUGAAGGCACAAACCAAGUAAAAGAGUCUAAAAUUAAUAUGCUUGUGCACAACUAUAAAUUAUUUAAAAUAAAAUCUGAAGAGUCAAUAACUCAAAUGUUUACUCAUUUCACUGACAUCAUAAAUGGUCUAAAAAGUUUUGGUAAGUGUUAUUCUAACAGUGAUUUUGUGAGAAAAGUACUCAAGUCUCUAC